UACGUAGGGUGCAAGCGUUAAUCGGAAUUACUGGGCGUAAAGCGUGCGCAGGCGGUUUUGCAAGACAGAUGUGAAAUCCCCGGGCUUAACCUGGGAACUGCACUUGUGACGGCACAGCUGGAGUACGGCAGAGGGGGAUGGAAUUCCGCGUGUAGCAGUGAAAUGCGUAGAUAUGCGGAGGAACACCGAUGGCGAAGGCAGUCCCCUGGGCCUGUACUGACGCUCAUGCACGAAAGCGUGGGGAGCAAACAGG
RNAcentral lists this ribosomal RNA (253 nucleotides) under uncultured bacterium. RNAcentral describes it as "partial 16S ribosomal RNA". It matches the Rfam family "Bacterial small subunit ribosomal RNA", at positions 524 to 776 of the family's 1533-position model. The record is from RNAcentral.